RNAcentral lists this ribosomal RNA (162 nucleotides) under uncultured bacterium. RNAcentral's name for it is "partial 16S ribosomal RNA". It matches the Rfam family "Bacterial small subunit ribosomal RNA", at positions 355 to 509 of the family's 1533-position model. The record is from RNAcentral.
UAGGGAAUUUUCGUCAAUGGGCGCAAGCCUGAACGAGCAAUGCCGCGUGAACGAGGAAGGUCUUCGGAUCGUAAAGUUCUGUUGAAGGGGUAAAAGAGCGGAGAGAGGAAAUGCUUUCUGAUUGAUAUUACCCUUCGAGGAAGUCACGGCUAACUACGUGCC